Molecule: unclassified non-coding RNA, 329 nt
Filed under: soil metagenome
Description: partial contains 5.8S ribosomal RNA, internal transcribed spacer 2, and large subunit ribosomal RNA
Rfam family: 5.8S ribosomal RNA (bases 1-120)
Source: RNAcentral
GAUGAAGAACGUAGCGAAAUGCGAUAAGUAAUGUGAAUUGCAGAAUUCAGUGAAUCAUCGAAUCUUUGAACGCACAUUGCGCCCCUUGGUAUUCCGAGGGGCAUGCCUGUUCGAGCGUCAUUAUAACCCCUCAAGCUCAGCUUGGUGUUGGGGCCUGCUGCACUGGCAGCCCUUAAAAUCAGUGGCGGCGCCAUCUGGCUCUAAGCGUAGUAAUUCUUCUCGCCAUGGAGUCCUGGUGGAUGCUUGCCAUCAACCCCCAAUUUUUCUAUGGUUGACCUCGGAUCAGGUAGGGAUACCCGCUGAACUUAAGCAUAUCAAUAAGCGGAGGA